RNAcentral lists this ribosomal RNA (277 nucleotides) under uncultured bacterium. Its description in RNAcentral is "partial 16S ribosomal RNA". It matches the Rfam family "Bacterial small subunit ribosomal RNA", at positions 233 to 507 of the family's 1533-position model. The record is from RNAcentral.
GCGUCCUAUUAGCUAGUUGGUAGGGUAACGGCCUACCAAGGCUACGAUAGGUAGGGGAUGUGAGAGCAUGGUCCCCCACACGGGCACUGAGACACGGGCCCGACUCCUACGGGAGGCAGCAGUAAGGAAUAUUGGUCAAUGGAGGGAACUCUGAACCAGCCAUGCCGCGUGCAGGAAGAAGGUCCUCUGGAUUGUAAACUGCUUUUAGCAGAGAAGAAAAGCAUCCUUUUAAGGGUGUCUGACGGUAUCUGCGGAAUAAGCACCGGCUAACUCCGUG